UUUGUUAGGAACCUACUUAAUUUAGGUGAAAAUUUCCCAAGAACAGCUACCUAAAUAGACAGGUGAAUUGAAUCUACCACUUCAACAAUCCCCCUGGGUGGCUGCUUAUAUUCUCGAAACUGUCCACUAACUAAUAGAUAAUUGCAAUCCCACCUCUGUUGCCCAUAUCUCUAUCUCUAUUCAAAUAGGCAGAUAAUGUGUUUGCUUAUGGUCUAUCCAAGUGUCCCAAGAGAUGCACCACAAGCCAUAACCGCUGGAGUAGCCAACCACAAGUUGCCCUGUAAAUAAUUUUUUAUUGUAAUUUGUCCAGGCUGUGAUUCAUAUCUAUGUCUUCACAUGCAUGGUUGCUUAAGUUGUUUGAAAACAAACAACACAAUGCUCAACACCUGUAACCACCGAUUGACCAACCAAUUGGAGGCCACAAUCUUGAAGGUCUCUGUUUCGGUGAUGACUUUAAAAACAUCGACGUUAAAAUACCAAGAUGAACGGAGGUUUGAUCUGCCUCAAUUUCUGCAAACGGUGGUCCUUCUUUGGGGGUGUUUCAUCUUCCUUUGCAAGAGCUCCUCCUAUUUUCGACAGGCAAUGCAGCCAGUCAGUUCACACACUACAGAAGAUGAUGCAACAUUAACAAAGCACAUAGGCGAAAGUUGUUUGUUUUCUGCAGUAGGGGUACACUUUGUAGGAGAUGAUUGCUUGUUAUGUUGCCUAUAAUUAAUUAAGAAUUGCCUAACAAUAGAGGACAAAACUAUAACAAAUAAAAAGUCCCUCAAUGCAAUUUUGAGUACACUAAACAUGUUCUUGUAUUUUAUCAACAAUUAAUUAUAUGUGUAUCUUUGUCUA
Non-coding RNA from Camellia sinensis, 840 nucleotides. NCBI's taxonomy places the organism in Eukaryota, Viridiplantae, Streptophyta, Magnoliopsida, Ericales, Theaceae. The record is from RefSeq and is a predicted model, not a curated record.